GACGAACGCUGGCGGCGUGCUUAACACAUGCAAGUCGAACGGUGAAGCGCCUUCCUUUUUGGUGGGUGUGGAUGAGUGGCGAACGGGUGAGUAACACGUGAGUAACCUGCCCCCUUCUUCUGGAUAACCGCAUGAAAGUGUGGCUAAUACGGGAUAUUCUGGUUCUGUCGCAUGAUGGGUCUGUGAAAGAUAUUGUUUCGGUGGGGGAUGGGCUCGCGGCCUAUCAGCUUGUUGGUGGGGUGAGGGCCUACCAAGGCGGUGACGGGUAGCCGGCCUGGGAGGGUGGACGGUCACACUGGGACUGAGACACGGCCGAGACUCCUACGGGAGGCAGAAGUGGGGAAGAUUGCACAGUGGGCGCAAGCGUGAUGCAGCGACGCCGCGUGAGGGAUGGAGGCCUUCGGGUUGUGAACCUCUUUCGCCAGUGAAGCAGGCCUGCCUGGUUUGUGGGUGGGUUGACGGUAGCUGGAUAAGAAGCGCCGGCUAACUACGUG
This 494-nucleotide ribosomal RNA is filed under the name uncultured bacterium. RNAcentral describes it as "partial 16S ribosomal RNA". It matches the Rfam family "Bacterial small subunit ribosomal RNA", at positions 28 to 507 of the family's 1533-position model. The record is from RNAcentral.